ACCAUGCUAGGCAGGCAUGUACAGCUAACAAUUCUUCCAUACAACAAAUAUAGUUGACCUAUUGCUUAUAGUUUAAGAAAAACAGACCAAAACACAAAAACUUAACACUGAGCAAUGAACCUUGAAAAUGAGGUCAAGGUCAAAUAAAACCUGCGUGACUGACAUAUAGAUCAUAAAAUAUUUCCAUACACCAAAUGUAGUUGAACUAUUGCAUAUAG
Mytilus californianus (California mussel) is the source of this 218-nucleotide long non-coding RNA. RefSeq lists it as uncharacterized. NCBI's taxonomy places the organism in Eukaryota, Metazoa, Mollusca, Bivalvia, Mytilida, Mytilidae. The record is from RefSeq and is a predicted model, not a curated record. The transcript is spliced from 2 exons.